GUUCGAGCGUCAUUUCAACCCUCAAGCUCUGCUUGGUAUUGAGUCUAUGUCAGCAAUGGCCGGCUCUAAAAUCAGUGGCGGCGCCGCUGGGUCCUGAACGUAGUAAUAUCUCUCGUUACAGGUUCUCGGUGUGCUUCUGCCAAAACCCCCAAUUUUCUAUGGUUGACCUCGGAUCAGGUAGGGAUACCCGCUGAACUUAA
RNAcentral lists this unclassified non-coding RNA (200 nucleotides) under soil metagenome. Its description in RNAcentral is "partial contains internal transcribed spacer 2 and large subunit ribosomal RNA". The record is from RNAcentral.